CCUUCUUGUCAUUACAGCUACAGCCAUAUGUAUGCCCACCAUCUGGUUCUGAGGGCAACAUAUGUAUCUGACAACAAAUGCAGGACCUGACUGUACGACUCGCUGACAAAAGCUGUACUGCUCUGGAGAUGUGAAUCAGAGCAAUAAGGAGAUGCCUGCUCCGAGGCUGGAGAACAUCUGUUCAGUGACAGCGGCUGCACUUCUCGGGCUGCUCUUACCUGCAGAGCUAAAAGAAGGUCGAGCAAGAGGGCUGAGGAGACAAGAGUACCAUGAACCAGAGGAGAGUGGCAAGACUGUGUUCUUCAGUCGGGAUGGUCCUCAAGUCAGUUCUGGAAGACUUUUCUCACAAGAAGAGUGUCGGAGCCUCAUUGUCGUUUGAGCGUGUCUGUGGUCUCAGAGUAAUGGGUCCCCACAGCUGGACAUUUCAUGGCAAUGAUCCCAGUUUUGCUCAUACACUCAGUAAACACACCAUAGCCAACAUCAAAUCUUUGAUCAGGAGAUAUGUGAGCCAUCUUCAAAUACCUAAAAGGGUGUCACAAGGAAGAUGGAGCAAGCUUGCUUUUUCAUGCUCCGGAGGGUAGGACCCUUAAUGAGUGGUAGCCCUUUAAAUGUUUGAAUAUAGUUAUCAUAUCUCCUCUCAGUCUCCUCUUUACCAGGCUAAACAUACCCAACUCUCUUGACUGUUCCUCAUGAGGCUUGGUUUCCAGAUCCUUGAUCAUCCUUGAUCACCCUCCUCUGCACACAUUCUGGCUUGUCAAUAUCCUACUUAAAUUGUGGUGCCCAGAACUGGACAUAUUAUUCCAGGUGUGGUCUGACCAAGACAGAACAGAGCAGUACCAUUACUUCCCUUGAUCUGGACACUAGACCUCUGUUGAUGCAGCCUAGAAUAGAUACUGAAUGUGUGCUACCAGAUUUUGUGUAGUAUAUGUCUAAACAUCGGGGCAGCUGAAGACAACCAGAAUGCUUGAGUCCUCAUGGGUUUGCGUUUGUGUCCUGAUUAGUAACUGCCAUGCAGCUAACUAUCCACAAUUUUAUUUGGAAACAAAGGCCUGUAGCUUCUGUCCUUCAAAUGCUGCAGUUUAUCUCCAAACUAUUCUGAGCUGAAAGCAUCUCGCUGAUCUCCCCAACUAAUGAGAUGAAUUGAUUUGCUGUAUAAUUCUAUGCCAAUGAGUUCAUUUACACCUAGCACCGUGUGUGGAAACAUCAUUAUGAGGGGGAAGCAAGCUUUUUGUAGCCAGUCUCUUCCCUACGAAAGCAUUCAAUUGUAUCAUUUUUGCCUGUUGGCAACGACUACUGUGUGUGUGAAAGGUAAUGCCCAGUGAUUUUAAUCACUUAUUAUUCUUACAUAAAUUACUGGCAUGGGUGACAUAUAUUUUUAUUGUGCUUAAUUGAUUUCAGCAUUGAGCAAAGCAAUCAUUUGGAGCAGAAUGUCACGGUUUCAAAAAGAAAUAGCCACUGUUUAGGUGCCAAGGAAUGGCCAGGCUGUUGCUGUUGCAGUUGCUUUGGCCAGCUGGUAAAGUAGCUUGCAGAAUGUUUGUUUUCCCCACUUUAUUUCUGCAUUUCCAGGAAUGUUGGAUUUGUUUUCUUAGGUGAAAGGGGAGUUCUUUCCCUAUUCAGCAGAGAAGAUGCAAACCUGGUAAAUUCAGCACCAUUUAUAGAUGUAAGGUGUUUCACCGUACACCAGAUAAGAUUUUGAGGGGCCAGUACUGGGUUUGGAGUAGGAAACUUGAUGUAAGAUGGUAGAACAUGGACCGUUUCUGACCUGGCUGGUACCCCUUUUUCCUGAGCAAAGUUUUGGAUUUCAAAACUUUUACCUUUAAAGAAAUUCAUACACAAAACAUACACAAAACAAAGUUAGUGAGCAUAUUGAUCUCAGAUGCUCAGUAGAGAGACUGCUUGGCUUCCCCAGCUUCAAUUAAAACCUAGGGAAAGACAUAAUGAGGUAAGU
Long non-coding RNA from Podarcis raffonei (Aeolian wall lizard), 1948 nucleotides. RefSeq lists it as uncharacterized. The transcript has 3 exons. NCBI's taxonomy places the organism in Eukaryota, Metazoa, Chordata, Lepidosauria, Squamata, Lacertidae. The record is from RefSeq and is a predicted model, not a curated record.